ACUCCUACGGGAGGCAGCAGUGGGGAAUAUUGCGCAAUGGGCGAAAGCCUGACGCAGCAAUGCCGCGUGAGUGAGGAAGGCCUUCGGGUUGUAAAACUCUGUCAGAUAGGAAGAAUUGCCAAGGGUCCAAUAGGCCCUUGGAGUGACGGUACUAUCAAAGGAAGCACCGGCUAACUUCGUGCCAGCAGCCGCGGUAAUACGAAGGGUGCAAGCGUUGUUCGGAUUUAUUGGGCGUAAAGCGCGCGCAGGCGGGCAGCUAAGUCAGAUGUGAAAUCUCGGGGCUCAACCCCGAAACUGCGUCUGAAACUGGUUGCCUAGAGUUUCAGAGGGGAGAGCGGAAUUUCGCAUGUAGGGGUAAAAUCCGUAGAGAUGCGAAGGAACACCAGAGCCGAAGGGGGCUCUCUGGCUGACAACUGACGCUGAGGCGCGAAAGCGUGGGGAGCAAACAGGAUUAGAUACCCU
RNAcentral lists this ribosomal RNA (462 nucleotides) under uncultured bacterium. RNAcentral's name for it is "bacterial SSU rRNA". It matches the Rfam family "Bacterial small subunit ribosomal RNA", at positions 335 to 788 of the family's 1533-position model. The record is from RNAcentral.